Molecule: ribosomal RNA, 514 nt
Filed under: uncultured marine bacterium
Lineage: Bacteria
Description: bacterial SSU rRNA
Rfam family: Bacterial small subunit ribosomal RNA
Source: RNAcentral
UGAUCUAGCCAUGCCGCGUGAGUGAUGAAGGCCUUAGGGUCGUAAGCUCUUUCGCCUGUGAUGAUAAUGACGGUAUCAGGUAAAGAAACCCCGGAUAAUUCCGUGCCAACAACCGCGGUAUUACUGAGGGGGUUAGCGUUGUUCGGAAUUACUGGGCGUAAAGCGCGCGUAAGCGGAUUAGAAUGUUGGGGGUGAAAUCCCGUUGCUCAACCUCAGAACUGCCUUUAAGACUGCUACUCUAAACUGCGAGAGAGGUGAGUGGAAUUCCGAGUGUAAAGGUGAAAUUCAUAUAUCUUCGUAGGAACGCCAUGGGCAAAGGCGGCUCAGUGGCUCGAUGCUGACGCUGACUUGCUGAAUUGUGGGGAGCACUCAGGAUUAAAUACCCGGGUAGUCCACACCAUAAAAUAUGAUGGCCAUCCGUCCCGUAAAAUAUUAUUCCUUGACGCUCCUAACCUAUUAAUCUUUCCGCCUGGGGAGUACCGUCGCAAUAUUCACACUCAAAGGAAAUUGACGG